This 1154-nucleotide ribosomal RNA is filed under the name human gut metagenome. RNAcentral describes it as "bacterial LSU rRNA". It matches the Rfam family "Bacterial large subunit ribosomal RNA", at positions 809 to 1982 of the family's 2925-position model. The record is from RNAcentral.
GUGUGGAUAGGGGAGAAAUUCCAAUCGAACCCGGAGAUAGCUGGUUCUCCUCGAAAUAGCUUUAGGGCUAGCCUCAUGGAUCAUUGGUGGGGGUAGAGCACUGAAUGUGCGCGGGGGCCACAAAGCCUACCAAACGCUAUCAAACUACGAAUACCAUACAAUGCAGACCAUGGGAGUCAGUCCGCGAGAGAUAAGUUCCGCGGGCAAAAGGGGAACACCCCAGAUCAACCGCUAAGGUCCCCAAGUUCACGUUAAGUGGAGAAGGAUGUGGAAUUGCACAGACAACCAGGAUGUUGGCUCAGAAGCAGCCACACAUUUAAAGAGUGCGUAAUAGCUCACUGGUCGAGUGAUUGUGCGCCGAAGAUGUCCGGGGCUAAACGUGACACCGAAGCGAUGGGUGCAUCUGAAAGGAUGCGCGGUAGAGGAGCAAUGUGCAGAGGCAGAAGCCGUAUCGAGAGGCACGGUGGACACUGCACAAGAGAGAAUGCCGGUAUGAGUAGCGAGAGGCAUGCGAGAAACAUGCCCGUCGAAAGCCCAAGGUUUCCUGGGGAAGGUUCAUCCGCCCAGGGUAAGUCGGGGCCUAAGCCGAGGACGGAAGUCGUAGGCGAUGGACAGCAGGUGUAGAUUCCUGCACUACCGAUGGAAUGAAGCAGUGACACAGAAGGAUAACUCGAGCAGGGUGAUGGUCAACCCUGUGCAAGCAUCAAGGUUGGGUUGUAGUGAAGUACGCAAUCCUACAAGCUGAGGUGUGAUGCGGACCGAAAUUUCAGUAGGGAAGCGAGUGAGUUCACGCUGGCGAGAAAAGCUGCUAGUACAUCCAAAGGUACCCGUACCGGAAACCGACGCAGGUGGGCGAGGAGAGAAUCCUGAGACGGACGGGAGAACUCUUGUUAAGGAACUCGGCAAAAUGACCCCGUAACUUCGGGAGAAGGGGUGCCUCGAAAGAGGCCGCAGAGAAUAGUCACAAGCGACUGUUUAGCAAAAACACAGGUAUCUGCGAAAGCGAGAGCUGACGUAUAGGUGCUGACACCUGCCCGGUGCUGGAAGGUUAAGGGAACAUGUUAGAGCAAUCGAAGCAUCGAACCGAAGCCCCAGUAAACGGCGGCCGUAACUAUAACGGUCCUAAGGUAGCGAAAUUCCUUGUCGGGUAAGUU